UACGUAGGGUGCAAGCGUUAAUCGGAAUUACUGGGCGUAAAGCGUGCGCAGGCGGUUAUAUAAGACAGAUGUGAAAUCCCCGGGCUCAACCUGGGAACUGCAUUUGUGACUGUAUAGCUAGAGUACGGGAGAGGGGGAUGGAAUUCCGCGUGUAGCAGUGAAAUGCGUAGAUAUGCGGAGGAACACCGAUGGCGAAGGCAAUCCCCUGGACCUGUACUGACGCUCAUGCACGAAAGCGUGGGGAGCAAACAGG
This 253-nucleotide ribosomal RNA is filed under the name uncultured bacterium. RNAcentral describes it as "partial 16S ribosomal RNA". It matches the Rfam family "Bacterial small subunit ribosomal RNA", at positions 524 to 776 of the family's 1533-position model. The record is from RNAcentral.